RNAcentral lists this unclassified non-coding RNA (319 nucleotides) under Athalia rosae (coleseed sawfly). RNAcentral describes it as "misc RNA ENSAEAG00005012757.1". Lineage: Eukaryota; Metazoa; Arthropoda; Insecta; Hymenoptera; Athaliidae. The record is from RNAcentral.
CGUUUGUUGAAAAAAUAUCAAACGAAAUUCUUUUCGCCAGAUAAAUUUGUUUGAACGUACUCGCGUCAUUCAUCGUUAAUAUAAAGUAUAUCUCGUAUUGUAUAUUGUCGCAUUAUUGUGAUUCAUUCGGACAUGCGUUCGCAGGUAAUAAAAAAGGAAGAACGGAAAAAAAUGGAUUUUUGUUUUUACCGACCGGGGCCGCGUCGAAAAAGUGACCUCAGACUUUUCGAAUCAAAGCUCCAUCGGUUGAAUUGGCUCGUAUUAUCUUCGGGCGUAUUAUACAUAGCGGGCUGACCUGACCUACUCAUUUCACUAUCCA